AGUGAACGCUGGCGGUAGGCCUAACACAUGCAAGUCGAACGGCAGCACAGUAAGAGCUUGCUCUUACGGGUGGCGAGUGGCGGACGGGUGAGGAAUACAUCGGAAUCUACUUUUUCGUGGGGGAUAACGUAGGGAAACUUACGCUAAUACCGCAUACGACCUACGGGUGAAAGCAGGGGAUCUUCGGACCUUGCGCGAUUGAAUGAGCCGAUGUCGGACUAGCUAGUUGGCGGGGUAAAGGCCCACCAAGGCGACGAUCCGUAGCUGGUCUGAGAGGAUGAUCAGCCACACUGGAACUGAGACACGGUCCAGACUCCUACGGGAGGCAGCAGUGGGGAAUAUUGGACAAUGGGCGCAAGCCUGAUCCAGCCAUACCGCGUGGGUGAAGAAGGCCUUCGGGUUGUAAAGCCCUUUUGUUGGAAAAGAAAAGCAGCAGGUUAAUACCCCGCUGUUCUGACGGUACCCAAAGAAUAAGCACCGGCUAACUUCGUG
RNAcentral lists this ribosomal RNA (492 nucleotides) under uncultured bacterium. RNAcentral describes it as "partial 16S ribosomal RNA". It matches the Rfam family "Bacterial small subunit ribosomal RNA", at positions 29 to 507 of the family's 1533-position model. The record is from RNAcentral.